RNAcentral lists this ribosomal RNA (692 nucleotides) under Backusella variabilis. Its description in RNAcentral is "eukaryotic LSU rRNA". It matches the Rfam family "Eukaryotic large subunit ribosomal RNA", at positions 50 to 648 of the family's 3401-position model. The record is from RNAcentral. Lineage: Eukaryota; Fungi; Mucoromycota; Mucoromycetes; Mucorales; Backusellaceae.
GCGGAGGAAAAGAAAAUAACAAUGAUUUCCCUAGUAACGGCGAGUGAAGAGGAAAGAGCUCAAAGUUGGAAUCCGGCUGCCUUAGGUAGUUGGAAUUGUAAACUGGAGAGGUGUUUUCCAGGCGAGCCGAGCAAAUAAGUCCUUUGGAACAGGGCAUCAUAGAGGGUGAGAAUCCCGUCUUUGGCUUGAGCAUUGCCUUCUGCGAUACACUUUCAAAGAGUCAGGUUGUUUGGGAAUGCAGCCUAAAUUGGGUGGUAAAUCUCACCUAAAGCUAAAUAUUGGCGAGAGACCGAUAGCGAACAAGUACCGUGAGGGAAAGAUGAAAAGAACUUUGAAAAGAGAGUUAAACAGUAUGUGAAAUUGUUGAAAGGGAACCGUUUGGAGCCAGACCGGCUGUUCUAUAAUCAAUCUCUGCUUCGGUAGGGAUGCACUUGUAGGGCUUUAGCCUGCCAACAGCAAUUUUCUUUGGUGGAAAAAACUAGGAGGAAUGUGGCCCCUCGGGGUGUUAUAGCCUCUUAGAAAAUACACUGAAGGGGAUUGAGGACUGCAGCAAAUGCUUUUGGCGAAAUAACUGGGCGCUUGCGUUAAGGAAGUAUAGAAUUUCUGCUUCGGGUGGUGCUAUGCUCUAAGAUGCAACUCGUUUAGACUAUUUUCUAUUUGCUUAGGUUGUUGGCUUAAUGACUCUAAAUGAC